GUGGGGAAUCUUGCGCAAUGGGCGAAAGCCUGACGCAGCCAUGCCGCGUGAAUGAUGAAGGUCUUAGGAUUGUAAAAUUCUUUCACCGGGGACGAUAAUGACGGUACCCGGAGAAGAAGCUCCGGCUAACUUCGUGCCAGCAGCCGCGGUAAUACGAAGGGGGCUAGCGUUGCUCGGAAUUACUGGGCGUAAAGGGCGCGUAGGCGGACAGCUUAGUCAGAGGUGAAAGCCCAGGGCUCAACCUUGGAAUUGCCUUUGAUACUGGCUGUCUUGAGUUUGGGAGAGGUGAGUGGAACUCCGAGUGUAGAGGUGAAAUUCGUAGAUAUUCGGAAGAACACCAGUGGCGAAGGCGACUCACUGGCCCAAUACUGACGCUGAGGCGCGAAAGCGUGGGGAGCAAACAGGAUUAGAAACCCUUGUAGUAC
Molecule: ribosomal RNA, 425 nt
Filed under: uncultured bacterium
Lineage: Bacteria
Description: partial 16S ribosomal RNA
Rfam family: Bacterial small subunit ribosomal RNA
Source: RNAcentral